Molecule: long non-coding RNA, 1611 nt
Filed under: Helianthus annuus (common sunflower)
Lineage: Eukaryota; Viridiplantae; Streptophyta; Magnoliopsida; Asterales; Asteraceae
Description: hypothetical non coding rna
Source: RNAcentral
UAAAAAACCCUAAUUCUCCAUUUCCUUCGAUCAUCGCCCCUUCUCUUUAUCAUCGAGUUUUUUUUGUCUUCCCCCUUCAUCAUCCUCUGCAAACCCUUUCUUCGAUCAUCGCCCCUUUUCUUUAUCAUCGAGUUUCUUUUGUCUUCCCCCUUCAUCAUCCUCUGUAAACCCUAAAGGAAUCUACACCAGUUCUUCGAGGAUUACUGAUUCAAUCCGAUGGAAAUGGAUCUUACGAAUGUCGUUGUUAUUCUACAAGCAACAGAGUCCCAAUCAUGCUGAACGAAAACCCGCUGAAGAUAGCCUCAAUCAGGUGGGCAAGCUGACCAAGCUUGCCUGAGAAGAAAGAGCGCAGCUAAUGCAGCUUCUUGAGUUGGUGCCGAGCCAGAUUUAAAGGCGGUCAAUAGGGGUGUGAUGCUUAAGGUUGCAGGUUCGGUGGCUCUCAGUUGUGGGGAAUUACCAAAAGGUUCAUUUAGAGCCUUCAAAUACCCUUCAGUCACUGUUCCAUUCGACUAUAAAUCUUUUCCAACAGCAGCUGCAGGUUUGAGGGGUGCCUUUUAUACCAACAAAUUUAAAGGGAGGUCCACCAGAAGAUAACAUUUCCAUCAAUUGGUGAAGCCUUGCUAACGGAUGUGAAAGAGGAAAACGAACAGAGCCUUGCGAUUUGGAUAAAUAUUUUGCAGUCAGUCAAUCGAUACAAGAGUUUAUUGGAACUAGCAACUCCACAAAAACACUACUGCAAAGUCAAAACUAUAAUGUUUAUUUGGGACAUGUGAUGGUGGGCGACAACUCAAUUUAAAGUGGCAAGAGGGAAGAGGCGAUCUACAGAUGGCUUCUCUUAAUUCGUUUCAGUAAAGAUGGGACCCGGGACUACUGGGAAUGUGUGUUGGGGAAAAGCGUAAGUUGAAGAUUUCUGCAAGUAUGGGUUAUGGGAAUCAGGGUUCACCUCCUACUAUCGCAGGUGGGCAAAAUCAUUCGGGCUAAAAUCCGCUAUCGUAAAGCAGGAGGAGCCGGUUGACAAUCUCUUCGUGUCUUGCCACUUCGCCUUAAGGUGAUUGGGAUCGGGUUGCAAGCUGUUGCUGUCUAACUGGGUUGUAUAUGUUUGAAAGCAAAGAUUUGGUCGAAUAUCAUUGCCAUGCGAGUGGGUCGACGAAAUGAAAAAAGUGGUGUACACUAUAAUGCAGACUGGAAUGUGGAGUAUAUCACGUUGUCAAAACAACUUAGCAUUCAACCAGAAGAAUCCAAAUCUGGUGAGUGCUGUAGAGGAUCUAAAUUGUUGUGAAUUUGAUUAUUUGUUUAUAUUUUUUGUAUCUGGGGUGAGGGAUAAUAUGUUGUCCCAAAUUUUAUUCAUAUAAAUUUGAAGUCAUUUGCGUGGCUUUUCUCAAUGAGGGGAGUUCCAUACUACCGCCCACUAAUUUUGAUAGUUUUAUGACCCAGUAUUACUUGAUAUAUGCACAUGGCAUAUUAUUUUAUGUAUCUCAUUAUUUUCUUUUGUUGAAUUUGGUCUUUUAGAUUCUUUUAUAUUUGUAUAUGUUUCUAUUUAAUAGAUUAGUGGUUCACAUGUAAUAAUCUAUCAUCACCUCUUUGUUUCUAUAUGUAAAUUUUCUUAUCUAC